CGCUUAAUCAUCGUCCCAUCGUCGCCGUCGUCCGUCGUUCUGUGCGUGCGUGAAGUUCGGUUCUGUUUGCUUACGGAAUUUGUUGGAAAUUCUCGUGUGAUCGGUUAUCCUAAAGGCAUUCAAGUGCAAGAUUUGACCGCACCUCACUGCAGCGAUCAGAAAUCAGAACAAACAAACUGUAAUAUUCGAAUUAUAAUCUGCCUUUGUUGGGCGUAGUUGAUCAGUGAAAAAUCGACGUGAGUUCGUAGGCGUAUGAAUACAGUGUCAUCACAAUAGAACGCUUUUUCGAACACGGUCGCCGCCAUGUUGAAUUUGUGAGAGGCGAAGGCGAGAGGCGAUUCAAUUGACUGCUGUGUGCAGCACGAAGAAAAUCAGCGGAAGCGGAGUUUUUCUGUUUUUCCCGUGAAAACCCGUGCGAAAAGUGUUGAAAAGUGUACCAUUUUGUUGCUAGCGAGUUCGUGAUCAAAUUGCCAUCAUGUCGCAGGCACUCCCGAUCCGUUUCCAAGAGCAUUUGCAGCUCACCAACAUCAACAUAAACCCGAGCUCAAUCUCUUUCACCAACCUAACCAUGGAAUCGGACAAGUUUAUCUGUGUCCGUGAGAAAAUCGGUGAAACGGCGCAGGUCGUCAUCAUCGACAUGAACGACGCGCAAAAUCCCAUUCGCCGGCCGAUAAGCGCUGAUUCGGCUAUCAUGAACCCUGCUAGUAAGGUCAUCGCUCUCAAAGCUCAAAAGACUCUUCAAAUUUUCAACAUCGAGAUGAAGUCGAAAAUGAAGGCCCACGCAAUGACCGAGGAGGUAGUCUUCUGGAAGUGGAUCACGCUGAACACGCUGUCUUUGGUGACCGAAACUUCGGUGUACCAUUGGUCCAUGGAGGGAGACUCUACCCCAGUAAAGAUGUUCGAGCGACACUCAUCGCUGAACGGAUGCCAAAUCAUCAACUAUAGAACCGAUCCCAAGCAGGCUUGGCUUCUCUUAGUUGGUAUCUCCGCUCAGCAAAACCGUGUGAUCGGGGCAAUGCAACUAUACUCAGUGGAACGCAAAGUGUCCCAGGCAAUCGAAGGUCACGCAGCGUCGUUCGCGACAUUCAAGAUGGAGGAGAACAAGGAACCAUCGACGUUGUUCUGCUUUGCCGUUCGCUCGGCCAAUGCUGCCAAACUGCAUAUCAUCGAGGUUGGUGCACCGCCCACCGGCAACACCGCUUUCACAAAGAAAGCCGUGGAUGUCUUCUUCCCACCGGAGGCGCAGAGCGACUUCCCAGUAGCGAUGCAAGUGUCGCCAAAAUAUGACGUUAUUUAUUUGAUCACCAAAUAUGGCUACAUUCAUAUGUACGAUAUCGAAACAGGCACAUGUAUCUACAUGAACCGUAUUUCGGCGGAUACCAUUUUCGUGACGGCUCCGCAUGAAUCCAGCGGCGGAAUAAUCGGUGUCAAUCGCAAAGGUCAAGUCCUGUCGGUAACGGUUGACGAAGAACAAAUCAUUCCUUACAUCAACACAGUUCUGCAAAAUCCCGAUCUUGCACUACGCAUGGCCGUCCGGAACAAUCUAUCCGGAGCAGAGGAUUUGUUUGUGCGCAAGUUCAAUCAACUGUUCCAAAAUGCCCAGUAUGCCGAAGCUGCCAAGGUUGCAGCUAUUGCUCCCAGGGGAAUACUUCGUACUCCUCAAACAAUCCAAAAAUUCCAACAGGUUCCCGCUCAGCCUGGAACAAAUUCGCCUCCGUUGCUGCAAUACUUUGGCAUUCUGCUUGACCAAGGCAAGCUGAACAAAUAUGAAUCUCUCGAGCUGUGCCGCCCGGUCUUGGCCCAGGGUCGUAAGCAGUUAUGCGAGAAGUGGCUGAAAGAGGAAAAACUGGAGUGCAGCGAAGAGCUGGGAGACCUGGUGAAACCGUCAGAUCCAACUUUGGCUCUCUCCAUCUAUCUACGCUCGAAUGUCCCGAACAAGGUCAUCCAAUGCUUCGCUGAGACCGGACAGUUCCAGAAGAUCGUACUCUACGCGAAGAAGGUCAAUUACAGCCCAGACUAUGUUUUUUUGCUGCGUUCAGUCAUGCGGACCAAUCCAGAACAGGGUGCCGGAUUCGCAAGUAUGUUGGUUGCUGAUGAAGAACCUCUGGCCGACAUUAACCAGAUCGUAGACAUAUUCAUGGAACAGAACAUGGUUCAGCAGUGUACGGCAUUCCUACUAGAUGCUUUGAAGAACAAUCGUCCCAGUGAAGGUUCCCUUCAAACCCGUCUGCUGGAGAUGAACUUGAUGUCGGCUCCACAGGUGGCAGAUGCCAUUCUUGGUAAUGCCAUGUUCACUCAUUACGAUCGUGCCCACAUCGCCCAGCUGUGCGAGAAAGCUGGAUUGUUGCAACGUGCUCUGGAACAUUACACGGAUUUGUACGACAUCAAGCGUGCUGUUGUACAUACACAUCUGUUGAACGGAGAUUGGCUGGUGGGAUUCUUCGGUACGUUGUCAGUUGAGGAUUCUCUGGAAUGUUUGAAGGCAAUGCUGACAGCCAACAUUCGCCAGAAUCUGCAAAUCUGUGUUCAGAUUGCGACCAAGUACCACGAACAGCUGACCACAAAGGCUCUGAUUGAUUUGUUCGAAAGCUUCAAGAGCUACGAAGGAUUGUUCUACUUCCUGGGGUCGAUUGUCAACUUCAGCCAAGAUCCGGAAGUGCACUUCAAGUACAUUCAAGCGGCAUGCAAGACAAACCAAAUCAAGGAAGUUGAACGUAUUUGCCGCGAGUCCAACUGCUAUAACGCCGAACGUGUGAAGAACUUCCUCAAGGAAGCUAAGCUGACCGAUCAGCUACCAUUGAUCAUCGUUUGCGAUCGUUUCGAUUUUGUACACGAUCUUGUACUCUAUCUGUACCGCAACAGUCUGCAAAAGUACAUUGAGAUUUAUGUACAAAAGGUGAACCCAUCUCGUCUCCCGGUCGUUGUUGGAGGCCUUCUGGAUGUCGACUGCUCCGAGGACAUAAUUAAGAACCUAAUCUUGGUAGUGAAAGGCCAAUUCUCCACCGAUGAGCUCGUGGAAGAGGUUGAAAAACGCAAUCGGCUGAAGUUGUUGCUUCCGUGGCUGGAAUCUCGCGUCCACGAGGGCUGCAUCGAGCCAGCAACUCACAAUGCUCUUGCCAAGAUCUAUAUCGAUUCGAACAACAAUCCGGAAAGGUUCUUGAAGGAGAACCAGUUUUACGACAGCCGUGUGGUGGGAAGAUACUGCGAGAAGCGUGAUCCUCACUUGGCUUGCGUCGCCUAUGAACGUGGACAUUGUGAUCGGGAACUGAUUGCCGUGUGCAACGAGAACUCGCUCUUCAAAUCCGAAGCCAGAUACCUGGUUCGCCGACGUGACGCAGAACUGUGGGCCGAUGUGCUGUCGGAAGCUAACCCGUACAAACGUCAACUGAUCGAUCAGGUCGUGCAAACUGCGCUUUCCGAAACACAGGAUCCGGACGACAUCUCUGUUACCGUAAAGGCAUUCAUGACUGCUGAUUUACCAAACGAAUUGAUCGAGUUGCUCGAGAAAAUUGUGCUAGACUCUUCGGUGUUUUCGGAUCAUCGCAAUUUGCAAAAUCUGCUCAUCCUCACGGCGAUCAAGGCAGACAGAAGCCGAGUCAUGGAUUACAUCAACCGUUUGGACAAUUACGAUGCACCGGAUAUUGCCAACAUUGCUAUCAACAACGAGCUGUACGAGGAAGCGUUCGCCAUUUUCAAGAAAUUCGAUGUCAAUACUUCUGCUAUUCAGGUUCUGAUUGAACAGGUGCACAAUUUGGAGAGGGCAAAUGAAUUCGCCGAACGCUGCAAUGAACCGGCAGUUUGGUCUCAAUUGGCACGCGCACAAUUACAACAGGGAUUGGUUAAAGAGGCCAUUGACAGUUACAUUAAAGCAGAUGAUCCUAGUGCGUACAUGGACGUUGUGGAAACUGCUAGCAAAAAUGAAUCUUGGGAAGAUUUGGUUCGAUAUCUGCAAAUGGCACGCAAGAAGGCUCGUGAAAGCUACAUCGAAAGUGAAUUGAUCUAUGCCUACGCUCGCACUGGUCGGUUGGCAGAUUUGGAAGAGUUCGUUUCCGGACCGAACCAUGCCGACAUCCAGAAGAUUGGCGAUCGCUGCUUCAAUGAUAAAAUGUACGAAGCUGCGAAACUACUCUACAACAACGUCAGCAAUUUCGCCAGAUUGGCCAUUACUUUGGUCCACUUGAAGGAAUUUCAGGGAGCUGUGGAUGGCGCGAGAAAAGCCAAUUCCACUCGUACAUGGAAGGAGGUCUGCUUUGCUUGUGUUGAUGCCGAGGAAUUCCGAUUGGCCCAGAUGUGCGGCCUGCACAUUGUAGUCCAUGCAGAUGAAUUGGAAGAUCUGAUUACUUACUAUCAGGAUCGAGGUCACUUUGAAGAGCUGAUUGGACUCCUUGAAGCAGCGCUUGGAUUGGAGCGCGCCCAUAUGGGCAUGUUCACGGAGCUGGCUAUCCUGUACUCGAAAUACAAGCCAGCUAAAAUGCGUGAACACUUGGAGCUAUUCUGGUCCCGCGUUAACAUUCCCAAGGUACUUCGCGCUGCUGAGCAGGCUCACCUCUGGUCGGAACUGGUAUUCCUGUACGAUAAAUACGAAGAGUACGAUAACGCUGUCCUGGCGAUGAUGGCUCAUCCUACCGAAGCUUGGAGGGAAGGACACUUCAAAGACAUUAUCACAAAGGUGGCAAACAUUGAGCUAUACUACAAGGCUAUCCAAUUCUAUCUCGAUUACAAACCGCUUCUGCUGAACGAUAUGCUUCUCGUGCUGGCACCCCGAAUGGACCAUACUCGUUCAGUGAACUUCUUCACUAAGCAAGGACACCUACAGCUGGUGAAGACGUAUCUUCGUUCAGUGCAAAGCCUAAACAACAAGGCAAUCAAUGAAGCACUCAAUGGACUGCUGAUUGAUGAAGAGGACUACCAGGGACUCAGAACAUCGAUCGACGCGUUCGACAACUUUGACAACAUCGCUCUUGCUCAGAAACUGGAGAAGCAUGAACUGACGGAAUUCAGACGGAUUGCCGCUUACUUGUACAAAGGAAACAACCGCUGGAAGCAGAGCGUGGAAUUGUGCAAAAAGGAUCGUCUCUUUAAAGAUGCAAUGGAAUAUGCAGCGGAAUCCCAUCAGGGAGAACUGGCUGAAGAAUUACUUGGUUGGUUCCUAGAACGUGGCGCGCACGAUUGCUUCGCGGCAUGUUUAUUCCAGUGCUACGACCUCCUGCGCCCGGAUAUCAUUUUAGAGCUGGCAUGGCGUCACAAUAUCAUGGACUUUGCAAUGCCCUAUUUAAUACAGGUAACCCGAGAGUACACAUCCAAGGUGGACAAAUUGGAAGUAGCCGAUGCUGAACGACAAAAGGAGGGAGAAAAUUCCGAACACAAAUCAAUCAUCCUGCCGGAGCCCCAACUCAUGCUAACCGCUGGUCCGGGAAUGGGAAUGCCGCAGUAUGCCCCGCAAUAUGCCGGAGCUUACGUUCCGGCGCAACCGAAUAUGUCACCAUAUCCGGGAUAUGGUGGUAUGUAAAAACAACACCCACAUACCUGCAUACCUACACAACACACCCACACGUUCGAACAUGCAUCGUAGUUCUGAAUUCGUUAUUUGACUGUGCUAUCGGUAGACACUAAAAUCAUUUAUUUUUUGUCUUCUUAAUUACGACUCGCUCGCUAACGUGCAGCGUUCAGCUAAGGUGAACAUUACUGAUCAUUUCGUUUUCAACUAGUUGUACAAGAGAGGUUAUAUAUAUUAUCGCAAACAAGAAUAUAGAACAGAAAAACAGAAAUUAAGAUAUAACAACUAAACUAUAAACCGAAGAGUUCGGAUGCUAUAUUUAUUAAUUUGUUGAUAUAUUUUUCAAUUAAAUCUAAAUUGUGUUAGUCCCUUUGAUCGAGACUAUAAUAAACAAUAAAGAUAUUGUCCAUCUCUAAAUCGAUCUUAUUCUAUCCAACUGCAGCCACUGGUGCUCGAAUGUAGCCAUGCCUAGUUAAGUCACACAGAUGGAAGAGAAGUUAGGAAGAUGUUUCAUCCCAGCCUCUUAAGUUUUCAUGAAUUUGUGUGAUUCAUCUAAGUGGUAACCAUUUUGUAUCGAUGACUAUGUCUUUGUAGCAAACAUCGUUGAUAAAUAAAUAAGCAGUGAUGAAGUUAAUGAAAAAGAUACCUUCGGAAAAUUUGUUUUGCAUAACAAACGUCGUUAGAAUCAAAUCUACAGAAAUAUUGUAAAUAUAUUCAAAGAAGAAAAUGGAAAGAAUUAUAUAAUUCAAAAAUUAUAUAAAAAAUAUAUAUAUAUGAAAGAAUUGUAGGUAUUUCCGGUGGUGCAAAACGUUGAAAAAUAAAACUCAAAUUCUCAUCAACAGUAGGUAUACAUAUUUGCACAUUUUUUUUUAAACAAAAUAAUUUCUUUUGUGCAUUGUUUGAGAAAAAAAUAUAAGAUGAAACGAUUUUAAUAUAAACUAAAUCAGUAUUUCUCCGUAAUGGAUUUAUUGUAACAAAAUUGACCACUUUCAUUUCGAUUGAACCUAUGUAUCACUCUUCAACGUUGUUUGCUAGUCAUCUUUGCUUUCUUUUGACGUUUCGUUACUAUACAUUAUUCACCGGUUUUAUAUUUUUGUGUUUUACAAACAAUCAUAAAUUUGCAUUCCUUCCUAAAAUAAAUUAUAUGAGAGUAAAAACGUUAUAAGGCAUGAUGAAAGAGGUGACUUGCCAGUUUCGCUGUAUUGUCUGACUUUUUAAUUAGUUAUGUUAUCAAAGUCAUGUAUCAUAAAAUCAUGCGCGAGAUGCAAAAUCAUACAAUGGACAACUCCAAAAACAGAAUAUGUAUCAAGCCAACUAAUACUGUAAUAUGGCCGCAUAAGCUGUCAUGAUCGCAAACGUGCAAUCGCCUGCUUUCCUUGUCGUAAGGGACUGUUAUGCGAUUAUGACUAGCGUAUCACACUGAGUCGUAUAGUACUAUACUUAGUAGAAAAUAUAUUGAUAUAUGCUUAAAUCAACUGA
This is an RNA transcript of Aedes albopictus (Asian tiger mosquito), 6976 nucleotides long. It is a transcript of the gene named clathrin heavy chain, with no coding region annotated. NCBI's taxonomy places the organism in Eukaryota, Metazoa, Arthropoda, Insecta, Diptera, Culicidae. The transcript has 9 exons. The record is from RefSeq and is a predicted model, not a curated record.